This is a long non-coding RNA of Cornus florida, 832 nucleotides long. RefSeq lists it as uncharacterized. The record is from RefSeq and is a predicted model, not a curated record. The transcript has 6 exons. NCBI's taxonomy places the organism in Eukaryota, Viridiplantae, Streptophyta, Magnoliopsida, Cornales, Cornaceae.
UUAAUCCUUUUGUUUCUUCCAUUAUCGAUAUCAUCUGGUCUCACUUCAAGAAAUCAGAUUCAGCAGAAGGUCCGCUGUGUGAAGGCCACAUCUUCUGGUUCGACAGGAAAAGGAGAGUUGAGCUAUCUCAACCAAUUUUUACCUUGACCAACACAGAGUUCAACCCUCUCUUUACUCUUUAGAACCAAGGAUCCGGACUUAGCUUCAUUUUUCAGCUAGCUAAAUGCGUGGAUGAUUGCUCUGGGCAAUGCAUAAUUGGAAAGGAAAUUCGGAAAUGGUAAUGUUUAUUUUUAGUUUAUAGAGGAAGAACAUGCUACGAACACCCUUAAGAAUCUAACCGGAAGAUUUUAUGCUGUUUACUAGGAGCAGAACAAAAUCAUUACUUUUGAAGUAAGAUUAGGAGCAUAGUUCUGGUUCUCAAUCUUCAUCUCUGCCAGAAUUGGACGAUUAAAUGACGGAGUUGAGUCCCUAGCAAAGCAUGGUCAUGUGGAUUGCAUGUUUCUUUUUGGGGGUUUUUUGAUUGUUGGCUUCUCAAAGUGUGAGACUCUAUUUUUGAUGUUCACACCAUGGUACGUACUUGGAUUUUGUACAAUGGAUAACGAGGUGGAGGAAGUGUGAAAAAUUGGAAGUCAACUUACGCGAGGAAUUAAUGAACAAUGUGAAGAUUAAUAUCAAUUUCAGGGAAAUAUUGAAUUUUCUUUUUAAUUUUGGCACGUUGAACAAUUAAUGAUGAAUUGUAAAUUAAUGCCUUACUCUUUUGAUAUGUUUAAUGGUGAAUUUAAACAUGGAUUAUUUUUGGUAAUGGCAUUAAGUGUAAAUUUUUAGCAUUCUA